This is a long non-coding RNA of Rattus rattus (black rat), 1417 nucleotides long. RefSeq lists it as uncharacterized. Lineage: Eukaryota; Metazoa; Chordata; Mammalia; Rodentia; Muridae. The transcript has 3 exons. The record is from RefSeq and is a predicted model, not a curated record.
CACUCCUUCCCCCAUUCUGGCCCCAAAGUCAACCACCUGGUCAUUCUCUGGGAAGGAUAACUGAUGGAAGAGUUACUUGUACACAGAGGCACCCUUGGAAACACGAUGCUACCUCUCAAUGGGAUUUUCCAGUACAAAGAUUCUUUUCAAAUAACAUAAUUGUGGAUACACACCACUCCUACAGAGAAUCAAAAGAGAGCCAAGGAUUUUAAAGUUCAUGAACUUUCAGAAAGAGAUCUUUCUUCUCUGAUUGAAAUGGGAACGGCAGCCACUGUUUGAUUUCCAAGAAACCUUUGUCUUUAGAGAGCUAAUAAAUUACACUACGCAUAUAGGUAAUCAGUGUGACUGGUGCUCUAUUCCAAAGGGAAGAUAACUCUCAAUAUUAUAGACGCUUUGAUUAAUUCUUUAUAGUAAGCAUAUUUUUCCCCCUGAAUCCUUGAGAGAUUUCAAAAGCCAGAAAAAGGUUUGAUUAUAUGAAGCAUGAUGUUAAUGGAGGCUUAAUAAAAUCAUGCAUACCCUAACAUGUUUAACGUGAGGGAGCCUGACAAACGGGAUUGACUUUAUAACAUAAUCAAUAUUGCCUUGCUAAGUUGGGUAAAUUCAUUUCUCAAAGUUUAUUUAGUAUCAAAAGAACAAAAUUCAAAAAGUAUGUAAAGCCAGAAACUUUCAAGAUUAAAGAUGAAGUGAAACAGUAUCAAAACUGUAUUAAGCUGGUCCAGAUUAGUUAUUAUUUCAAACGGCUAGUCAAAGGCAUCCAGCUUUUAAGGUAAAAUUCUUAUAUACUUUAAUAUGAGUGACUUCAGAUUCAAUAUUAUUGUGUCUUGUUUUCCAAAGGAAUAUUUUAGAUUUUAAGCCAAAUGUGGAAUUAUAUGGUUGGAGGUUACAUAACGCAGUCCCGCAGCAUGUUUUAUAUUACGUCUAGGAGACGAGCAUUAGAUUUCACAGACAAAGUCAUGGAGAUGCCACACUGUCGGAAUUUCUGAUCUAACGGCCGUGCUUAUGUUUGAAUGAGAAACCCAAGGGCCAAAUUCACAAACAAUUCCAUUUGCUUUUUGUACCCUGGAUGCCUAAAUCUCUAGAACUUGCACUUUUAAACAGAUAAAGUAAGUUCUCUCCGUCCUCCUUACAAAACAUGAAACUUGCAAAUGUUUCUCACCUAACAUUAAUAGCGUCUAAGGGGCUUUGCGUCCUACCCCAAACGGCAGGGCAGCUGAGAAAAGCAUUCUCAACUGAGCCAUCCUGUUCAAAUAUACCGUCAGCUCUUGCUCCUUUCCAAGCCAGGCACACAAAGAAUUCUACAAGCGUCUUUAAAACAUGACAUGUAAUGUCACUUUUACAAGUAGCUAGUCUCUUUGGUUUUCUUUUAAUCACAUAUGUAUUCCUUGGAAAAUAAAUAUGUUUGUUUACAAUAUUGAGA